ACGGAAGGCAGCAGUGGGGAAUAUUGCACAAUGGGCGCAAGCCUGAUGCAGCGAUGCCGCGUGAGGGAAGAAGGUUUUCGGAUUGUAAACCUCUGUCAACAGGGACGAUAAUGACUGUACCUGUGAAGGAAGCUCCGGCUAACUACGUGCCAGCAGCCGCGGUAAUACGUAGGGAGCAAGCGUUAUCCGGAAUUACUGGGUGUAAAGGGUGUGUAGGCGGGAUUGCAAGUCAGAUGUGAAAACUAUGGGCUCAACUCAUAGCCUGCAUUUGAAACUGUAGUUCUUGAGGGUCGGAGAGGUAACUGGAAUUCCUGGUGUAGCGGUGAAAUGCGUAGAUAUCAGGAGGAACACCGGUGGCGAAGGCGGGUUACUGGACGAUUACUGACGCUGAGACACGAAAGCGUGGGGAGCAAACAGGAUUAGAUACCCUGGUA
This 434-nucleotide ribosomal RNA is filed under the name uncultured Ruminococcus sp. RNAcentral describes it as "partial 16S ribosomal RNA". It matches the Rfam family "Bacterial small subunit ribosomal RNA", at positions 341 to 792 of the family's 1533-position model. The record is from RNAcentral. Lineage: Bacteria; Bacillati; Bacillota; Clostridia; Eubacteriales; Oscillospiraceae.